Molecule: long non-coding RNA, 1873 nt
Filed under: Gossypium barbadense (sea-island cotton)
Lineage: Eukaryota; Viridiplantae; Streptophyta; Magnoliopsida; Malvales; Malvaceae
Description: long non-coding RNA (GBAR_LNC012755)
Source: RNAcentral
AAAAUGUCAACCCCAUCAUUUUCUUUUUAAAUUAUCAUGUCAAUCAUCAUAUUAAUUACCAUAUAAUCAUAUAAUGGGCUGCCAAUGAUUUAAAAAAAAUUCAAUAGUUUAAUUCGAUUAAAAACCCAAUUGAUAAUAGUUUUGUUUAAAAUUUUAAUUGACUUUUUGAAUUUUUACUUUUAUUAAGUCAAUGAAAUUUUCUUAGGGGAAAUAUGUCUAGAAAACAACUACUACGGAAGAAUACUUGCCGAAAGAAAUAUUAGGGCUAUAUCUUGGGUCUUGUCACCGACAAAACACAUAAACUAUUCUCCACCCCCCUUUAUGAACCGCUAAAUGCUGAUAUAUAACCAAAGUUCAAGUGCUUGUCUUGGGGUCCAAAACAACAUAACCCCCAAUGGAUUCUAAUCCAGAAAUCAGGCAAAGACCCAACAACAAUAGAACCCUUCCACAUACAUAAACGCCCAAAUUUCUCAAUGCCCUUCAAAGACCACAUUCCACCCAAAACAAUCGCCAUCGAAAACAUGCUGAAUCACCAAAAUGCAUUUUAUUUUAAGAGGAUGUUUUUAGCUUUUAAGCUUUAGUAAGUGAAAUAAAAUGAGAGAAAAUGAGAAUCACUAGCAGCAGUAAAACAGUUGUUGUUUUGUAGCAGAGUUUUUCUGAUUUUUGGAUAAUAAAAUCACAAUUAUCUCUCAAAUGAAAAACAUUAGAAGCAAAGACAUAAAUAAAUAAACAAAUGCUCUUCUUUUUAUGAUUUGAGCUUUAAUUUAGUUGAUAUAAUUACUAUAAAAAUAAUUAAGAUAAUGUGUUUUUAAGUGUAUUUUUUCCUCUAAUUUAAGAGUUUGAAAGCAUUAUGAUAAAAUUUAUCAUUAAAUAAAUAAAUAAAAAUCUUCCUUUUAACCAUAAAUUACUUGUUUACGUUGUUUCAUAGCAUUAGCAUAGCCUUCAAAAUUUAAAAGCAAUGAGAAAAAUAUACCUUCCUACCUCAACUGGGCAAAUUUCUUUGGGAUUUGAAGAACAGAUAAAGAUUGUUUCAUGUUUGCAUGAUAGGGAAGUAAACCGAAAGUUGGACACAAAUAUUCAUUUGAAUAUGAAACUCAAGUCAGUUUCCAGGAAAUCCAUUUCCUUGCGCUUUUCAAAACUUCUUAUUUUGGUUUUUGAUUAAAUUAAAUUAAUCUUCCUUUAAGUUUGCGGUGUGAAUAGAUACGAUGAAAAUGGAUGAAAGAGCUGCAGUGCAAGCAGAGCUGAUAGAAGGAAAUGAUCCCCCAAGAAAGCUCAUAUGCAAAUCUCGAACACCUUAAUCUGAAAUAUGACGCAAAUCACUAUGUUCACCGCAAAACCAAAUCGCCGUUGUUUGCUUCUCUCUGCUCACUCAAUAGUCAUAUUUACAGCUAGCUUAAGGUUUCCAGGAUUUGUUGGGAGCUCCCUGAGGUUGAUUUUGCCCUCAGUUCUCCGCUUGCACCGCACCCCCAUCCCUUAGACAAAGCAAGCAAAUAUCGUCAGAUUUUUCCAGAAGCGAAUUAUUGUUGUUAAGCAAAGCACGAAAAGCGAAAGGAAUUUUCCAAUUAAGGAAAUGAAACUGUAAGGCUCAGCCCUUGUGGGAAACUUCCGGUGCAAUUUCCUUGUUUGCAAAAAGUGAGACACCACUGAAACUUUUGAAACAUAUUCGUUGAGACCCUUUUUAUGCCAUAUGGGUCUAAAAUUCAAUAUUCUGGAUGUCUACAAAACAUGUUCAAUUCAAGCAAGAAACAAAUAGUUGAUUGCCGCAAGGUUUAUCCCUUUUUAUCUAUGCUUUCUUUACACGAAAUGCAGUUGGUUGACCUAACACUUCAUCAUAUAAUAAUAAAAGAAUCCAACAUCGCUAUGUUGUCGUGCC